CGGUAAUACGGAGGAUCCAAGCGUUAUCCGGAAUCAUUGGGUUUAAAGGGUCCGUAGGCGGUCAGAUAAGUCAGUGGUGAAAGCCCAUCGCUCAACGGUGGAACGGCCAUUGAUACUGUCUGACUUGAAUUAUUAGGAAGUAACUAGAAUAUGUAGUGUAGCGGUGAAAUGCUUAGAGAUUACAUGGAAUACCAAUUGCGAAGGCAGGUUACUACUAAUGGAUUGACGCUGAUGGACGAAAGCGUGGGUAGCGAACAGGAUUAGAUACCCUGGUAGUCCACGCCGUAAACGAUGGAUACUAGCUGUUGGGAGCAAUCUCAGUGGCUAAGCGAAAGUGAUAAGUAUCCCACCUGGGGAGUACGUUCGCAAGAAUGAA
RNAcentral lists this ribosomal RNA (376 nucleotides) under uncultured bacterium. RNAcentral's name for it is "bacterial SSU rRNA". It matches the Rfam family "Bacterial small subunit ribosomal RNA", at positions 518 to 898 of the family's 1533-position model. The record is from RNAcentral.